Coniochaeta ligniaria NRRL 30616 is the source of this 2174-nucleotide ribosomal RNA. It matches the Rfam family "Eukaryotic small subunit ribosomal RNA". Lineage: Eukaryota; Fungi; Ascomycota; Sordariomycetes; Coniochaetales; Coniochaetaceae. The record is from Rfam.
UACUUAGUUAAUUCUACUAGUAGUUAUAUAUUUAUCUCAAAGAUUAAGCUAUAUAUAUUUAAAUAUAAGUAAUUAUAUUACGAAAUUGUAAAUAGCUUAUUAAAUUAGUUAUCGUUUAUUUAAUAGUACUUUAUUAUUUAGAUAACUAUAGUAAUUCUAAAGCUAAUAUAUAUUAAAAAUCUCGAUUUUAGAAGAGAUGUAUUUAUUAGAUUAAAAACUAAUACCUUUCGAGGCUUUUUAGUGAUUUAUAAUAAUUUUUCGAAUCGUAUAGCUUUACAUUAGCGAUAGUUUAUUCAAAUUUCUACUUUAUUAACUUUCGACGGUUAAAUCUUAGUUAGUUAUAGUAAUAACGGGUAAUAAAGGGUUAAGGUUCGACUUCGGAGAAAGAGUUUAAGAAACGGCUACUAUAUUUAAAGAAGGUAGUAGGCGUAUAAAUUACUUAAUUUCGACUUAAGGAAGUAGUAAUAAUAAAUACUAAUAUAAGGCUCUUUUAGGUUUUAUAAUUAGAAUAAGUAUAAUUUAAAUCUUUUAAUAAAGAAUAAUUAGAGAAUAAGUUUAGUAUUAGUAGCCAUAGUAAUUUUAACUCUAAUAACGUAUAUUAAAGUUGUUAUAGUUAAAAAGCUCGUAGUUAAACCUUAAGUUUAGUUAGCUAGUCUACUUUAUUAUAUAUAUUAGUCUAGUUAAGCCUUUUCUUUUAGGGAACUAUAUACCUUUUAUUAGGUAUAUCGGAGAACUAAGACUUUUACUUUAAAUAAAUUAAAUCGCUUAAAAAAGGCUUAUAUUUAAAUACAUUAGUAUAGAAUAAUAGAAUAAGACGUAUAAUUCUAUUUUAUUAGUUUCUAAGACUAUUAUAAUAAUUAAUAGAGAUAGUCGAAGGUAUUAGUAUUUAAUUAUUAGAAGUGAAAUUCUUAAAUUUAUUAAAGAUUAACUACUACGAAAGUAUUUGCUAAGGAUAUUUUUAUUAAUUAGGAACAAAAGUUAGAAGAUUAAAGAUAAUUAGAUAUCAUUGUAGUUUUAACUAUAAACUAUAUUAACUAAGGAUUAGACGAUAUUAUACUUUAACUCGUUUAGUACUUUAUACGAAAGUAAAGUUUUUAGGUUUUAGGAGAAGUAUAGUUGUAAGGUUGAAAUUUAAAAAAAUUAAUAAAAAGGUACUAUUAGGGGUAAACGUCCGUAGACUCUACUCCUAAUAGUAGCUUAGCGAUAAGUUAAAUAGUAUACUUUAACUACUUAUUCGAAGCUGAAAAUUGUUAGUUUACUUAUUAUAAGUAAUACUUUUAAAUUAACGAAGAACCCUUAAAGCUUUUAGCGACUAAGUAGUAGUCGAAAAAUACGUUUAUAGCUAAACUAAUUACUUAAGUAUAGUAAAACUAUUAGAAGAUAUAUUAAUAGGUAAUUCGUAGCUAAGCUCUUAAUCGGCGUUAUUAUUAUAUAGAAAAGGUUUAGAGACUUAACGAAGAUAAGUUCGUACGCUUAGUAUAAGCUUAAGAUAAAGUCUACGGUAUAGGUUAACGCUUACUAUUUAAGUAAACUUUAAUAAAUAGGAGUUUAUAGCUUAAUUUGACUUAAUAUAGAAAAACUUACUAAGUUUAGAUAUAAGUAGAAUUGAUAGAUUAAGAGUUUUUUCUUAAUUUUAUAAGUAGUAGUAUAUACUUAUUUUUAGUUAGUAGAGUAAUUUGUUUAUUUAAUUAUAAUAACGAAUAAGACUUUAACUUACUAAAUAACUUAUAUUAUUUUAGUAGUACGUUAGCUUUUUAAAAAGACUAUUAGCUUAAGUUAAUAAAAGUUUAAAGUAAUAAUAAGUUUAUAAUACCUUGAAAUAUUUUAGGUCGUACGUAUAUUAUACUAAUAGAGCUAGUAAGUACUCUUUUGAUUAGAAAGUUUAGGUAAUCUUAUUAAACUUUGUUAUAUUAGGGAUAAAGUAUUAUAAUUAUUACUUUUUAACAAAGAAUCUUUAAUAAAUGUAAGUUAUUAGUUUACGUUAAUUACAUUUUUAUUCUUUAUAUAUAUCAUUCGUCGCUACUAUUAAUUAAAUAGCUUAGUAAGGCUUUCGGAUUAGCUUAGAGAAGUUAGUAACGACUACUUAGGGUUAGAAAGUUAUCUAAACUCGGUUAUUUAAAGGAAAUAAAAGUCGUAAUAAAGUCUUUAUUAGUAAAUUAGCGAAGGGAUUAUUA